UACGUAGGGCGCAAGCGUUGUCCGGAAUUAUUGGGCGUAAAGAGCUCGUAGGCGGCUUGUCACGUCGGGUGUGAAAGCCCGGGGCUUAACCCCGGGUCUGCAUUCGAUACGGGCUAGCUAGAGUGUGGUAGGGGAGAUCGGAAUUCCUGGUGUAGCGGUGAAAAUGCGCAGAUAUCAGGAGGAACACCGGUGGCGAAGGCGGAUCUCUGGGCCAUUACUGACGCUGAGGAGCGAAAGCGUGGGGAGCGAACAGG
Molecule: ribosomal RNA, 254 nt
Filed under: uncultured bacterium
Lineage: Bacteria
Description: partial 16S ribosomal RNA
Rfam family: Bacterial small subunit ribosomal RNA
Source: RNAcentral